AAGCAAAUAUAACUUUCAUUCCUUAUUGAAACUUCAUGCAAGUUCUUUCUAAUAUAAUGCACAACAGGUCAUUAUCAUGUUUCAUACAUAUUUUUUGCUGGCCAACUAUCACCACUUAAUCAAAAAACUAUGUAAAAACCUAUCUAUCAAAUACAAAUGGAAUUGCGAUAAAAAUACAUGUGGAAUCAGGUUCAAGGAUUUCCUUUUUCUCUUUUUUGGGUAUAUAUAUGUAGAUUUACAAAACAAGGCUAGUUAGUGAGGGUUGUGGUCAGUUUCCACCAAAAGUAGUGGAAGAAAUAAAAUUAGUAACAUCCUGAAUGCUGCUUUCUCCAGUUUGAUUGCAAAGAAAACAAGCUAAACUCAGGAUCCAAGUCAAUCUGUGUUGGAAAAGUUUUGAGGCUUACUGCUUGCAAAUGCCAACCAUACGAUCGUACCGGUCAAAUAGAAGAAGAUUGAUGGUGCAAACAAUGAUAUCUGCAUGAUACAAAUGCGGGAGCGGAAAUUAAUAAUAUAGGAUAAAAGUGAAUGAUAGGAUUGCUGAUAAAAUAUUCAAAAACUUACACUCCACGAAUGGGUUGUAUCAAGAAGAUAACCGGUCAACGCAACACCAAUGAUUCCAGGUAUUGCUCCAACAGUGUUUGUAAUGCCCUGAGUCAAACAAAAAUUCAAAGAAAAACUUCUCACUUCUCAAAUUAAUCUGCAAGAAGAUAUCUUUUUCGACUCAUACUUAGAUGUAAUGAAUAUUAUUGGAUAAAAUAGCCAAAUAUAUAAAUUCACCCUUGUACCAUUUGUGAAAAACUGUAAUGCCUCAAUUUUUAUUUUGAUUCAAAACACUUAAACAUAUAAAAUUACAGUUAUUAAACACUUCUAUUUGCUAGCUUUCCUCUAAUUUCUUAUUCUUUUUUUGUAGUUAUAGAUAAUUUAUAAGAAUUUUUUCUCGAGUAUUAAAUAAGUCAUACACAUUAAAUUAAACAGUAACAUUCACCUUAAGAUUACAUGGCACCAAAUGGAAUAGUAAUUGAUCCAACAAGACAUAAAUAUAAGCAAAUAUAACUUUCAUUCCUUAUUGAAACUUCAUGCAAGUUCUUUCUAAUAUAAUGCACAACAGGUCAUUAUCAUGUUUCAUACAUAUUUUUUGCUGGCCAACUAUCACCACUUAAUCAAAAAACUAUGUAAAAACCUAUCUAUCAAAUACAAAUGGAAUUGCGAUAAAAAUACAUGUGGAAUCAGGUUCAAGGAUUUCCUUUUUCUCUUUUUUGGGUAUAUAUAUGUAGAUUUACAAAACAAGGCUAGUUAGUGAGGGUUGUGGUCAGUUUCCACCAAAAGUAGUGGAAGAAAUAAAAUUAGUAACAUCCUGAAUGCUGCUUUCUCCAGUUUGAUUGCAAAGAAAACAAGCUAAACUCAG
Molecule: long non-coding RNA, 1405 nt
Filed under: Jatropha curcas
Lineage: Eukaryota; Viridiplantae; Streptophyta; Magnoliopsida; Malpighiales; Euphorbiaceae
Description: long non-coding RNA (JCUR_LNC002299)
Source: RNAcentral